UGCCUCACCACUCUCUGUGCCAGGAUGAAGCGACCGAUCUGAUGCUCCUGAAGAGUAUGAAAGUGUAAGUGGAGUGAGAGAGAGAGAAAGAGAGAGAGAGUGAGAGAGAGAGGCAAAAAGAAAGAAAAAGCUAGUGGAAAGCAGUACGACACAAUCUGCGCCACUGUCUGCUGAGAACAUCGGGUUCUCUACUACACCAGAGCUCACAACAUCCUAAAGGUGAGUGGGUGCUGUUAUCUGGGGAUACAGGCAGGAUAAGUGCAGUGGACAGAGCUGUAUGGUUGGGCGGGUCAGCUGGUGUUGUGAAUCAGGCCGCCGUAAUGAGUGGGCACGGCUUCUUCAUAACACCAGGGUCACACCCUACCACACUCAGCACCUGCCAAUGAGCACACACCUAUCCACACAUAUCCACACGUACGCACACACACACACACACACAGGCAAAAACACACUGACCCAAGCAGUACCAACUGAUAUCACAGGAAUAAUGGAAGGAAUCAGACUGUGUGAGGCUGCAUUAUAUGGACCAUAUAGACUUUUUUUUUAAUAUAUAUCAUGAACUAUAUAAUGGUUACAAAUAGUUCCAUGAAAAAUGAAAGGUGUUGCUGUGUAUUUUUGGAAGAUUUAAAUGCUUAUUCAAAACUAAAAGAAAAAUGAAACUCAUACAUUGUUAGCACAUACAUUUCUAUAUGUUUGUUGUAUAGAUGUUUUACAAUUUUGAAAUAAAAUUUUUUUAAAACCUU
Molecule: long non-coding RNA, 743 nt
Organism: Ictalurus punctatus (channel catfish)
Lineage: Eukaryota; Metazoa; Chordata; Actinopteri; Siluriformes; Ictaluridae
Exons: 3
Source: RefSeq, a predicted model, not a curated record